CACACCUCAACCACAGCCCUGUGACCAUGGUCCUUGAAUUGAAGUUUUCCUUGCAUUGGGUACAAGGACCAGGAAAACACUGUCAACUGAUUUUGUUGAUGUGACCCAGCACCCCUGGCCAGGCUCUGCAAACACAUGGUUAGAGAUGAUGCCUUCCCUACAAGAUCAGUACCCCCUCCCUGGAAGCAUACAAGGCCAGGCUGGAUGGGGCUUUGAGCAACCUGGUGUAGAGGGAGGUGUCCCUGCCUAUAGCAGGGCAUUGGAACUAGAUGAUCUUAAAGGUCCCUUCCACCCACACCAUUCAACGAUGCUAUGAAUGAUCAUCCAAGAGGAAACUGCAUUAUUUGUAUUGCUGUAGCUCCCUGGUCAGCAGCAGAAGAUACAGAAUUGAAUGACAUCACAUGAGGAUUAAACUUCACUCUGUACCAAGAAAUGUCAACUAAAUUGAUUCCAAUUGUAAACUUCCAGCGCAUAUCCCAAAAGGACUGCUGUGUACACAAGGGCUGGAUGUGUCAGGCAGUAGAAAACCACCAUGCGGAUGGAUCUUCCCCAGUGGUUACCUCAAGGUGGACUGAAGCUGGAGUUCCUGCAGUGCUCAUUCAUCAGUCUUCCUCGUGGUAAUAUUCAUGAUUUACAUUCUCCCCAUCAUGAUUAGGUGCUGGAAAAAAGAAAGAUCUACACUGGAGCUGACUUCAGAAAGCAGCGUUCUUCAUCCAAAUCCAAUCAAGCUCUGCGGCAGGCAACCUUUUUGAUUUAGCAUAAAUUUGAAUAUGUGUGGCCCCGAGAAUAACCCUCCUGGCUUUGGAAACCUCGGAGAUGAAAAGACUAUCGCAUAAAUGCCGGGCAGAAGAUUAUCUCUGCAGACUGCCCUUCCUUCUUCCGAAGGCAAUUUUGCUGGAGUGAAGAGUGGGAUGAUGCACUGAAAGCCAUUAAAAAAUGCAGUCAAUUGAAGCUUGAUGGGGACAUUUGUUUUUCCAGCCACAAAAGUGAGAACGGUUCAUAGGGUUGUUGUGGACUCACAUUGCAGUGCAGUGAAGAGCAGUAUUUUGCUUUGCUGGAAGCAGUCUAACUGGAUUAAUUUUUGUUCUUUUUCUCUUUAAUAAAACUGGCAAAAUGUGUCUGCCUUUGAAUGUA
Molecule: long non-coding RNA, 1134 nt
Filed under: Phasianus colchicus (ring-necked pheasant)
Lineage: Eukaryota; Metazoa; Chordata; Aves; Galliformes; Phasianidae
Description: lncRNA (ENSPCLG00000021916.1)
Source: RNAcentral